GAUGAAGAACGCAGCGAAAUGCGAUAAGUAGUGUGAAUUGCAGAAUUCAGUGAAUCAUCGAAUCUUUGAACGCACAUUGCGCCCCUUGGUAUUCCAUGGGGCAUGCCUGUUCGAGCGUCAUUUGUACCUUCAAGCUCUGCUUGGUGUUGGGUGUUUGUCUCGCCUCUGCGUGUAGACUCGCCUCAAAACAAUUGGCAGCCGGCGUAUUGAUUUCGGAGCGCAGUACAUCUCGCGCUUUGCACUCAUAACGACGACGUCCAAAAGUACAUUUUUACACUCUUGACCUCGGAUCAGGUAGGGAUACCCGCUGAACUUAAGCAUAUCAAUAAGCGGAAGA
RNAcentral lists this unclassified non-coding RNA (337 nucleotides) under soil metagenome. Its description in RNAcentral is "partial contains 5.8S ribosomal RNA, internal transcribed spacer 2, and large subunit ribosomal RNA". The stretch from base 1 to 120 matches the Rfam family "5.8S ribosomal RNA", at positions 35 to 154 of the family's 154-position model. The record is from RNAcentral.